UGGGGAAUAUUGCACAAUGGAGGGAACUCUGAUGCAGCGACGCCGCGUGAACGAAGAAGGCUUUCGAGUCGUAAAGUUCUUUUAUAUGGGAAGAUAAUGACGGUACCAUAAGAAAAAGCCCCGGCUAACUACGUGCCAGCAGCCGCGGUAAUACGUAGGGGGCUAGCGUUGUCCGGAAUCACUGGGCGUAAAGGGUUCGCAGGCGGAAAUGCAAGUCAGGUGUAAAAGGCAGUAGCUUAACUACUGUAAGCAUUUGAAACUGCAUAUCUUGAGAAGAGUAGAGGUAAGUGGAAUUUUUAGUGUAGCGGUGAAAUGCGUAGAUAUUAAAAAGAAUACCGGUGGCGAAGGCGACUUACUGGGCUCAUUCUGACGCUGAGUAACGAAAGCGUGGGUAGCAAACAGG
Molecule: ribosomal RNA, 403 nt
Filed under: Fusobacteriota bacterium
Lineage: Bacteria; Fusobacteriati; Fusobacteriota
Description: Fusobacteria bacterium partial 16S ribosomal RNA
Rfam family: Bacterial small subunit ribosomal RNA
Source: RNAcentral